Molecule: ribosomal RNA, 517 nt
Filed under: Parnassius ariadne ariadne
Lineage: Eukaryota; Metazoa; Arthropoda; Insecta; Lepidoptera; Papilionidae
Description: partial 16S ribosomal RNA
Rfam family: Bacterial large subunit ribosomal RNA
Source: RNAcentral
UUUUUGAAUUAAUAAUAUAAAGUCUAAUCUGCCCACUGAUAAUAAAUUAAAGGGCUGCAGUAUUUUGACUGUACAAAGGUAGCAUAAUCAUUAGUCUCUUAAUUGGUGACUUGUAUGAAAGAUUUGAUGAGAUAUAAACUGUCUCUUUUUAAUUUUUAGAAUUUAAUUUUUUAGUUAAAAGGCUAAAAUAUAUUUAAAAGACGAGAAGACCCUAUAGAGUUUAAUAUUUAAUAUUUAUAUUAAAAAUUUUAUAUGAAAUUUGUAAUUUUAAUAUGGGUAAAUAUUUUGUUGGGGUGAUAAAAAAAUUAAAAUAACUUUUUUUAUAAUUUUACAUUAAUAAAUGAAUAAGUGAUCCGUAAUUUACGAUUAUAAGAAAAAAUUACCUUAGGGAUAACAGCGUAAUUUUUUUUUUUAGUUCAAAUAAGAAAAAGAGUUUGCGACCUCGAUGUUGGAUUAAGGUAAAAUUUAAAUGCAAAAGUUUAAAAUUUUUGAUCUGUUCGAUCAUUAAAAUCUUACA